Molecule: long non-coding RNA, 437 nt
Filed under: Vigna radiata
Lineage: Eukaryota; Viridiplantae; Streptophyta; Magnoliopsida; Fabales; Fabaceae
Description: long non-coding RNA (VRAD_LNC012467)
Source: RNAcentral
AUAUACUAGUUAUUUACUAUGACCAAUAAUAUGUUCAUUUUUCAUAUUCCUUCGUACAUUCUCUCGGAGUUUCUUCCUCAUAUUCUUUCUUAGCACUCACAUCCUCUCUAAGUUUCGUAUUUUUUGUGUCAAUAUUCAUCGUCUUUGUCUCCUCCUUCUGUCACGCUUGUCUUUGUCUCUUCCCUUAGCCACGAUUGUGGCUAUCGCACCCAACAUUCUUGAGCUUCAAUUACUCCUCCCAACACUCUUUACCCUCAUCCCUCCCUUUGUUGCAGACCCCUUCAUCACCUCCCUUCGUUGUCGUGAUGAUAUUCGUAUUUUCUAGAGUUAUAGAUGUCGUGGUUUUUGGAAUCGUCGUCGCUCUUCACGCUCUUGCUAUCAUUGUUCAGUUUAGUGGUCGUUCUCACCUCUCUCAUUAGGUAAGUUCUCAUUUUAGG